CUACAAUGGCGUAAACAAAGGGAGGCGAAGCCGCGAGGUGGAGCAAAUCCCAAAAAUAACGUCUCAGUUCGGAUUGUAGUCUGCAACUCGACUACAUGAAGCUGGAAUCGCUAGUAAUCGCGAAUCAGAAUGUCGCGGUGAAUACGUUCCCGGGUCUUGUACACACCGCCCGUCACACCAUGGGAGUCAGCAACGCCCGAAGCCGGUGACCCAACCGAAAGGAGGGAGCCGUCGAAGGUGGGGCCGAUAACUGGGGUGAAGUCGUAACAAGGUAAC
RNAcentral lists this ribosomal RNA (276 nucleotides) under uncultured bacterium. RNAcentral describes it as "partial 16S ribosomal RNA". It matches the Rfam family "Bacterial small subunit ribosomal RNA", at positions 1225 to 1500 of the family's 1533-position model. The record is from RNAcentral.